Molecule: transfer RNA, 73 nt
Filed under: Patiria miniata (bat star)
Lineage: Eukaryota; Metazoa; Echinodermata; Asteroidea; Valvatida; Asterinidae
Description: tRNA-Thr
Rfam family: tRNA
About the family: Transfer RNA (tRNA) molecules are approximately 80 nucleotides in length.
Source: Rfam by way of RNAcentral
GGCUGGAUAGCUCAGUCGGUAGAGCACCGGAACAGUAAUCCAGGGGUCGCAGGUUCAAACCCCGCUCCAGUCA